GACAAUUUGGAGAGGCAGGCACUACAGAAAGUCAGAAGAUUGGAAUUUCAGACAAGUAAACCCGCCCCAGCCCUCCACAGCUAAAAUUCAAACACCAACUAAUGGCUGCCAGCAUGAGGCUAGCAGAGGGGAAAAAACACACAAAAUAAUGUCAGAAGGGAAUCUGACUUAAAAUGGAUCAUCUUUUCUAUACUAGUGCGAAACGACAUUUCUAAUCUUCAGACAAUAAUCUGGAAGACCAAGUGGAAACUGGCUCCAGAGCCUGAAGGCGCUGACUCCUAAGGCAAUGCUCAGGCACACCUGAAGCCCUGGAGCUGCCUGCCUGCCUCUCCCAGUCCUCCCCAGGGAGCAUCCACCCAGCGGCUCCCGCAGCCAGCACCACAGUGCUGAUACAUGUCUUGUCUUGGAGAUGAGAUAAAUAAGCCCACUUUCCUCAGGAGGAGACUGAGGCCCAGAAGAAAGUUUCCUGUGAGAGCAUCACUGUCCUUGUGCCUAGAAGCGCUUGGCAAUGCCCACAGUGCUUAUUGGCAGGCGCCAUGCCCAGGAUAGGGCACUGGGCCCAGCCAUGACUGUUGGAAAUGGUGGGGAAGAAAUGCUCAGCCCCGCACUGCAUCUGCCCACAUGUGCAGGCAGGAAAAUUCCUGGGAAGACAGCAGGUCUGGCCUGAAGGUAGAUGGGAAGGAGACAACGGCAUCUUCUGAAAGGGAAGAGAAAUCUUUCCAUAUGUCCAUAACCCUGCAUUUAGCUUGCCUAAGGCUCUGGGUUCAAUCUUCAGCAUCACAUUCAAAAGCAGGGAUUAUUUGUUGAGAGAAGGGGUUUCACUGUGUUAUCCAGGCUGGUCUCAAACUCCUGGACUGAAGGGAUCCUCCUGCCUCAACCAUCCAAAGGCUGGGACUGUAGGCAUGUGACACCACACCAAACUAUAACUGCCCUGAACAUACUACAUGAAAGGCACUGUUAAGUAUGCUAGGGACACAGAAAGAGAAAAAACAAACAAACAAAAACACGGCCCCUAGUACCAGCAAGCUUACAUUCUAGUGACGGAGAAAGACAAAGAACAAGGGAAUAAAUAAGCUAAUUCCAGACUGUAGUACUGUGAAAGAAAACACACAGGGCUGCCUUAACGCAGUAGGUAUUUGAUUUAAAGCAGACAAGGAAAUAUGAGGCCUGGAUAGGGAGCCAGCCAUAGUCCAGGCAGAGAGUAGCAUGCGUAGAAGCCCUGAUAUGUGUCGAGGCCUAAAGUAGCUUGGGAAGAGAGAAUGCUGAGAAGACAGACUUGUGAACAUUUAGAAGGAAGAACCAAAGACAGACCAAGUGUGGGGAUUGAACUUUAGUUCCUUGCUAGAUAAAUAUGCCACUUCCAGAGUAAGGGAACUCCAGAGAAAGCAGGUUUGGGAGACAUGCAUUUUCUCUCUGUGGAUUCUUUCCCUCCUGUACAACAGAUUGAUCAGACUAUAUGACAACCAAGGUUUAGUGCUUAUUCUUUAUUUUUUUUUUAGAAG
This 1502-nucleotide long non-coding RNA is filed under the name Marmota monax (woodchuck). The record is from RNAcentral. Lineage: Eukaryota; Metazoa; Chordata; Mammalia; Rodentia; Sciuridae.